UGUACACAAAUUGCCUGUUUAUAGGCCUCCUUUCAAAAUCAAUACAACCCUCUUUCAAAAAAAAGAUGCUUUUGUUUUUACUUUUCUGUUUUGGUUGCGUAAAUGUCCAUUGAUUUAAUUUGAAUUAAUAUGUGCAUUUGAAUAUGAUAAAUGUUUACCAAAAUAUAUGCGUAGAAUAGCAAUAGCAAUUACUACCCGACUUCAGGAUCGAGGAGAAGGUCUAACCAUGCUUCCAAUGAAUCCGCUACCAAUUCUAUUCCCCCAGCAAGUCUGUUAUUCCUCAGAAGAAAUUAGCAGUAUUCCCCGGCACAGCCAGUUACUCCCCAACAGAGGUCGGCAUCAUCAGACAGAUUGAUCAUCUCAUCCAUCC
This 370-nucleotide long non-coding RNA is filed under the name Lathyrus oleraceus (garden pea). RNAcentral describes it as "Pisum sativum (pea) long non-coding RNA (PSAT_LNC011673)". The record is from RNAcentral. Lineage: Eukaryota; Viridiplantae; Streptophyta; Magnoliopsida; Fabales; Fabaceae.